GAGGAAAUAUAUAUAUAUAUAUAUAUUAAAAUAAAGGUCCGAACUUCCGUUUGUCUCAAGACAAUUGUUUUUUUUUUUUUUUACUUCGAACCUUCCGCUUUGAGGUGGAGGUCGGUGGUGGCGAUGGAGGCAUGGACAAGAUUGGGGACGUAAGAGCGGUCAAACGGAUGCCUCUUCAAUUAGACGUCGCCACCACCGCCGCAAGGGGAGUCGUGUAAGUGGGAGCAUUGGGAGCUCCGAUGCUACAUUACCUCCUCCCUGGCCAUCAUCAUCCCCGGUGUUGGCAUAAACACCAAGCCCAACCUCACCCUUGAGACCUGCGCGCACUAGAAACCCCUCGAGCACCUCCAACAGCAACAGCAGGUCGCCUUCGAUGAGUGAUCGCCAGCCUCGAUUGCCUCCCUCAAUCGGUCCCCAUAAGUUGCAGGAUAGUCAGCGAGAUCAGGUUGUGGAUGGUGUAUUAGUUGAUGGUACCAUAGACAUUUUAUAACCCUUAUAUGCAGUGGUACCAUCACAUUUGUCGUAUUGGUGCAAUAUUUGACUAUCUGGAGAUAUGCAUAUUAAUCCUCCAUGCCAUCGAUGAGUAUAGUCAUAUCUCCAUGGGUGUCUAUAGUCAUGGCCUCGGCACAUCAGACGACACUCCUUCACCUUUUCCACAUCUGUCAUCAUCGGGAGCAUCUCCUCCUACUUUGCACGGAUGAGAUGACAUGAGUCAUCAAGGAGUUUUAUAUCAUGCAAGAAGCUAUACAAGUGAGGAAGCUAUACAGGAGGCUGUCACACAAAUAAAACUACAUAUCAAGGAGCAUGAGGGGCCUGGUGAAACUAAACCUAUGCAUCGUUAGAAGCAACCUGCAUGGAAGAAGAGACGGCCAUCAUGUGGAACAUGAUUUUUUUGUUUUAUUAUAUUUAUAUAUCACAUGGACAUGAUUUUUUUUUAAAAAUAAAGUUUACAUUAUUCUCUAAA
Elaeis guineensis (African oil palm) is the source of this 964-nucleotide long non-coding RNA. RefSeq lists it as uncharacterized. NCBI's taxonomy places the organism in Eukaryota, Viridiplantae, Streptophyta, Magnoliopsida, Arecales, Arecaceae. The record is from RefSeq and is a predicted model, not a curated record.